AGAGAGAGAAAGAGAGACGUCAAAUAGAAAUCAGAGAGAUACUAUCACAGCAUUCUGAAGUCCAGGUAUGUCUGGAUGACACCGUCCCCUGCCAGAGACCAUGAUGCAAUGGAUUCAGAUGUCAGGCUGCUGCUCACUGGCAUGAGUCCUAUCAGAUUGUAACCUGAAGAUACAGUUGACAACAUUUGUUUGUUCCCAGAUAGCAAGAGGCCAGUGGACCUUUUUUCUGGUUCUACUAUGUGCCGUGUUCAGCUUCCAGCUCCAGUGAUCACGGAACGUGCAAAGACACCCUCUCACUCGCUAUACGCCACACAAGUGACUCUCGACUAUUAAAAUACUGCUUAGCUCAUCACCCCUAAAUCACCACACCUGUGGGGACUAAUUACUCCAAUGCACCCCAACCAUCAUACAGACAGACUUCCGUUCCUGAACAAUGCCGGGCAGGUUUCACUCUCUGUGUCUGUUGGAACAGGAAGACUUUCCUGAAAUGUUCAACAAAAAGAGGAAAG
Molecule: long non-coding RNA, 509 nt
Organism: Alosa sapidissima (American shad)
Lineage: Eukaryota; Metazoa; Chordata; Actinopteri; Clupeiformes; Clupeidae
Exons: 3
Source: RefSeq, a predicted model, not a curated record